This 396-nucleotide ribosomal RNA is filed under the name uncultured bacterium. Its description in RNAcentral is "partial 16S ribosomal RNA". It matches the Rfam family "Bacterial small subunit ribosomal RNA", at positions 523 to 918 of the family's 1533-position model. The record is from RNAcentral.
AUACGUAGGGAGCGAGCGUUGUCCGGAAUUACUGGGUGUAAAGGGAGCGUAGGCGGGACUGCAAGUCAGAUGUGAAAUACCGGGGCUUAACCCCGGAGCUGCAUUUGAAACUGUGGUUCUUGAGUGAAGUAGAGGCAAGCGGAAUUCCUGGUGUAGCGGUGAAAUGCGUAGAUAUCAGGAGGAACACCGGUGGCGAAGGCGGCUUGCUGGGCUUUUACUGACGCUGAGGCUCGAAAGCGUGGGUAGCAAACAGGAUUAGAUACCCUGGUAGUCCACGCUGUAAACGAUGAUUACUAGGUGUGGGGGGACUGACCCCUUCCGUGCCGCAGUUAACACAAUAAGUAAUCCACCUGGGGAGUACGGCCGCAAGGUUGAAACUCAAAUGAAUUGACGGGG